RNAcentral lists this ribosomal RNA (253 nucleotides) under uncultured bacterium. Its description in RNAcentral is "partial 16S ribosomal RNA". It matches the Rfam family "Bacterial small subunit ribosomal RNA", at positions 524 to 776 of the family's 1533-position model. The record is from RNAcentral.
UACGAAGGGGGCUAGCGUUGUUCGGAUUUACUGGGCGUAAAGCGCGUUCAGGCGGUUCGGCAAGUCGGGCAUGAAAUCUCUCGGCUCAACCGGGAGAGGUUGUCCGAUACUGUUGGACUUGAGGGCAGUAGAGGGUGGUGGAAUUCCGGGUGUAGUGGUGAAAUGCGUAGAUAUCCGGAGGAACACCAGUGGCGAAAGCGGCCACCUGGACUGUACCUGACGCUCAAACGCGAAAGCUAGGGGAGCGAACGGG